RNAcentral lists this ribosomal RNA (253 nucleotides) under uncultured bacterium. RNAcentral's name for it is "partial 16S ribosomal RNA". It matches the Rfam family "Bacterial small subunit ribosomal RNA", at positions 524 to 776 of the family's 1533-position model. The record is from RNAcentral.
UACGUAGGUGGCAAGCGUUGUCCGGAUUUACUGGGCGUAAAGAGCGCGCAGGCGGUCGUUCAAGUCGCGUGUGAAAGCCCCCGGCUCAACUGGGGAGGGUCACGCGAUACUGAUCGACUCGAAGGCAGGAGAGGGUAGUGGAAUUCCCGGUGUAGUGGUGAAAUGCGUAGAUAUCAAGAGGAACACCUGAGGUGAAGACGGGUUGCUGGGCUGAUACUGACGCUGAUGCGCGAAAGCUAGGGUAGCAAACGGG